GACCGGAGCUAGGGGAGCCUUCGGGCUGAGAGUGGGUUCGUCCCAGACCCUGUGAACCUGACGCAGUUAGCACUGCCGUAGGGAAGCCGCGCACCGGACAU
RNAcentral lists this non-coding RNA (101 nucleotides) under Nitratidesulfovibrio vulgaris. Its description in RNAcentral is "Desulfovibrio vulgaris TPP sequence". It matches the Rfam family "TPP riboswitch aptamer (THI element)". Rfam says of the family: Vitamin B(1) in its active form thiamin pyrophosphate (TPP) is an essential coenzyme that is synthesised by coupling of pyrimidine and thiazole moieties in bacteria. RNAcentral also lists the same sequence under 1 other name. Lineage: Bacteria; Pseudomonadati; Thermodesulfobacteriota; Desulfovibrionia; Desulfovibrionales; Desulfovibrionaceae. The record is from RNAcentral.